This 1841-nucleotide long non-coding RNA is filed under the name Anser brachyrhynchus (Pink-footed goose). RNAcentral's name for it is "lncRNA (ENSABRG00000006653.1)". Lineage: Eukaryota; Metazoa; Chordata; Aves; Anseriformes; Anatidae. The record is from RNAcentral.
CACAACUCUUUAUUUAUUUGAUUUUUUAUCUAUAUGCCAGAUAGGGCUGGCUGUUGUAAUAGGAGCCACCAGCAGCCCUGGAUGGAGAAAAGAUGGUCCAGGAGACAGACAUACCUACAAUGCUGCAUAGGCCAGGCCUGGGUGCUGGGCCUGAGCUUACAUGGAUCCUGGGGAGAUGAGCAGGCCUGUGUGGCUGAGGGUCCUAGCUGAGGCCACUCAGGGCAAUGGCAGCCUACAGGUGCCCUCAGGGCUGUCACACUUGGAGGUGCUUUGGUUUAAAUUGGACAUAAUGCAUGGGAAUAGGGCUGCUUAGGUUCUGGUUGGGUGGUUCUUCCUUUUUGUGUGCCUGCCCUGAUAGUGCUGCAUGUAUGGGGGGAAAUAGACUGGCUACAGCACCCCAAGGGUCUGUUUGUCUUUCCUUUGAAACUACAACGUGGUGGAUUCAGCAACAUGAGUUCUUCAGCCCUGGAAAGAAUCCAAAUCAUAUGGAGCUUGACUCUGGAGAAAGUGUUAACAACAGGGUCAUACAAGAGGGAAGAUCAUCUUGGGUCCCUUGAACCGAUCUCCAAGGGGAUCAGUCUCAGUUCUCUGACCAGAGAGAGAGAGAGAGAAUACAUUAACGGUGAUGAAUACUUCCCUUUAUCUCCUCUUAUCACCUCGUUGAACAAGGUCAGCACUGUUAAAUAAGUCCUUUGAUAACAAUGUUAGGACAGUUGCAAGAGUUGGAUUGGGGUUAACAUCACCAAGAAAGAUGUUGUUUGUUAUACAUAUCUCUGUGUUAGGGUUAACCGUGGAUAUUGACUGAGAAAUUCUUUGAAGUAUGUAAAGAUGGACAAUUGUUAGUCCACUGCAGUUGGUGGCAGGGCUGACAAAAGCAUCCUUGAUCUCAGGAGCAAUAGGAUUUCAGCCAGCAGAGCGGAAAUUACUUCCACUUAUUUUACGCUUGUUUCCACUUGCCUGGUUUGUUCCUAUUACCUCUAGCAGGUAUGAAGCUCCAUUUGUUCUGCUGUGCUCUAAUGUAGUAAACAAUUUUGAAAAGCUAACAGAUUUUACACUACCGUGCUAAUUUAUUGCGUUCUGCUAUCAUGAGCAACAACGGCAAAACCCUUAAAGGAACUUUUGAAAAGAAAUCAAUGCAAAUGAAGGUUCAGGGGAAAUAUUUUUAAAGAAAACUUGAGAAAGAGUGAGUUCCUCUCCAACAUCCCAUUAACAGACCAUUAAUGACCUAGCAAUAUGUUGCAGGAGUACAGCUCUGUAAAGGACUGCAGCUCUUCUGUUUCUCUUUUUCUUUUGAAUUUGCUUGUGGAACCAAACCAAGAACAUUAACGGACAACCCAAAGGAAAAUUGAGUCUUUUUUUUUUUUUUUUCCUGUGAAAAUAAGAAAAGCCCCAAAGCAUAUGUUGAUUUCAGACCGAGCAGUUGUUCUGCUUUAAUACACAAUUAAAUGGUCUCAUUUUCAGUCUUAUUUAACGGUUUUAAAAUAGAUAAAAUGUCAAAGCAAAACAUGUUAAGAAAAUAAUCUAGCUUUUAAAAGCUUUUUUUUUUUUUUUUUGCCAGACACAAAGAAAGUGACAAAUUCCACCCAAAAUCACAUUUGCAUCUUCUUAAACCUGCCUUUUCUAGCAAAUGUGAUGUAGUCUAAUUGGACAGAGACAAAAUUCCUAUUUGUAUUCCUAUUACUUAACUAUAUUCUCUUUCCCUUCAUUCUCUCCGGUUUGUCCCAUUCUUCUGUAGUAUUUUGUCUGGAAAACCACUGUGUGUAUUUGUAUUGCAUAACAUCUAGUUAAACAGAGCCAUAGAAAAAAAAAAGGCUGUAAUAAUAAAUUCCAAGUCUCCACCA